RNAcentral lists this ribosomal RNA (253 nucleotides) under uncultured bacterium. Its description in RNAcentral is "partial 16S ribosomal RNA". It matches the Rfam family "Bacterial small subunit ribosomal RNA", at positions 524 to 776 of the family's 1533-position model. The record is from RNAcentral.
UACGGAGGGGACUAGCGUUGUUCGGAAUUACUGGGCGUAAAGCGCACGUAGGCGGCUUGUUUAGUCAGGGGUGAAAUCCCGAGGCUCAACCUCGGAACUGCCUUUGAUACUGGCAAUCUCGAGUCCGGAAGAGGUGAGUGGAAUUCCUAGUGUAGAGGUGAAAUUCGUAGAUAUUAGGAAGAACACCAGUGGCGAAGGCGGCUCACUGGUCCGGUACUGACGCUGAGGUGCGAAAGCGUGGGGAGCAAACAGG